GACAAAAAUUAAUUUCAGAUAAAUCAAAAUCCUAAUCAUAAAGCUAAGUCAUAAAUACAGGAGAAUUUACUGAUGAUGUGGGGACUGGUAGUCUCUAUACAAGCUGUAAAAAGUGGGACGAGAAGGAAAAAUUCUGUACUUAAUGUUCUGUAUUUAAUUUAAAUUUUUUAAAUGUUCAUUAAAAGAUACCACUAAGAAAAUGAGUAAGUCAAGCCAAUCGUGGUUAUCACAGGCCUGUAAUUCUAGCUGUUCAUGAAGCUGAAACACAAAGAUUGCAAAUUUAAUAGCAGCCUGGGAAACAUAGUGAGACCCUAUCUAAAACUUGGGAAAUAUAUUUAAAGGAGCUAUAGGUCAGUGGUAGAGCACUUGUGGAGCCCUGAGAAAGGGAGAUGAGAAAAAAAUUAAUAGACCAAGUCCCAGGUUUUGCAGUAUAUAAUUAACAGAGGAAUUAUGGUAAGAAUCUAAAAAGAACUAUUUAAGGAAUUUUUAAAAACUUUUUAUGUAUAAAUGUUUGGUAUAUCUAUGAACCACCUGCAUAUGUUAUCUACAUAGGCCAGAAGAGGGCAGCAGAUCUCCCUGGCACUACUAGAGUUAUAGAAGAUUGUGAGCCACCAUGUGGGUGUUGAGAACCAAACAGGGGUCCUCUGCAAGAGCAGUAAGUGCUCUCAAUAGCUGAGCCACUGCCCCAUCCCCUAUAAAGAAGUGAUUCAUAAUUCAAUAAACAUGUGUGUGUAUAUGUAUGUAUACAUAUAUGUGUGUGUGUAUAUUUAUACAUACACACACACACACACACAAAUAUAUAUGUGUGUAUGGACAAGAUGCUAAAAACCAUUUAUUUUGCUUUCAAAACCCUCUGGAAUGACUACAAAAAUAAAAAAUAAAACAAUUAAUGUGGGUAAAUAUGGAUAGAAAUAGUAGCUCUUCCACAUUAAUGUGCAGGUUAUAAAAUGGUACAGCCACUUUGGAAAACAGUUUUGUCAGUUUCUUAAAAAGGUAAAUAUAGGGGGUUUCUGGGGGGUGGGACCAGGAAAGAGGGUAACAUUUGAAAUGUAAAUAAAGAAAAUAUCC
This 1068-nucleotide long non-coding RNA is filed under the name Mus musculus (house mouse). Its description in RNAcentral is "RIKEN cDNA 9530097N15 gene". The record is from RNAcentral. Lineage: Eukaryota; Metazoa; Chordata; Mammalia; Rodentia; Muridae.